Dromaius novaehollandiae (emu) is the source of this 7420-nucleotide long non-coding RNA. RefSeq lists it as uncharacterized. NCBI's taxonomy places the organism in Eukaryota, Metazoa, Chordata, Aves, Casuariiformes, Dromaiidae. The transcript is spliced from 2 exons. The record is from RefSeq and is a predicted model, not a curated record.
CUGCGGGAAGGUGCUGAGGCUCUCGCACACAGGCUCUGCUCAGUCCUUCUCUGCGUAAUCAGAUACACAGUGGGGCCAGCCCUCUGCUGGCCUUACUGCCCUCCCAGCGCUCCAGAGCCACGGAUAGCACCAAGUGGAGGAAAAAAGAAGUGCUGGCUCUGACGUGUUCGGGUGUCUGUAUACAAAUUCAAACGGACGGUAAGAGGCCUCCAGCUGGGUAACUGUUAACAUUCAGAUCACUUACUUCUGACUUAUGUCUACUCAAGUAUCUUCUCUGUGUUCUCUGUCAUGAAGUAUGUAACCUCAGCCUCUUCUCAGAUCACGGAUCAGGAUACUGCUUUCAUCUGUACAGGUCUAGUAAUUAUUCUGUUCAUAUAAAAGAAUGAAAGUAGUAAUGCAUGUGUCUGUCUAAAUGCACAGGUGGAGAUGCUCAAAAACACAUUCCUAAGAAAAGGGUAACAUGCUCAAGCCCGUGCUAAAAAAAUGAAACAUAUGCAGUUUAAGCGAAUCCUAAAACAUAGGUAUCUUAAGGGGGAGGAGGUUGGUAGAUAACCAUUUAGUCAGGCUAUAAUGUUUCUAGACCACUUAUUUUUAUAGUGUUUGACUAGUCCAUUGGAAACCACAAUUUUAGCCAGUUCUAUUCAGUCAUCAUGUUAUAAAAUGUCUUCAUAAUGAAAUUAUGCAGGACUAGUAAAGAGAAAGUUUUGAAAUUCAUCUCUUGUAACUAGAUGCUAGAUAUGUCAGAAUUUCAGGGGAUUUUAGCAUAAUUUUGUAAACAUAUUCUCAAAGCAAAAGGGUACAUUUUAUAAAUACAAUAUUUAAUAUUUCUGUUGCAGAAAUCUAUAGGCCACAAGUUAAAUGUAAUUUAAAAAGAGGGUAUAUUCAAAAUCCUGUCAUGAAUUCUUUUCAUACUGUUUUUACUUUUUAAGGAAUGUUUUUGUAUUGUUUCUGAGCUCUUAUUUUCAGUGAAGACUAAGGGCUCGACAUUUCCAUGUUUCCUUAUGGUAACAGGAAAUCCUAUUACCUGCUUGCUAGUCAAAGCUGUCACCUAAGUGAUACUACAGAUUUACCCUACUUCCCUGAUUUCUUGAAUCCAUAGUUCACAUAAAAGCCAGAGUUUCCAACGUAAACAAACCAAAAUUUUUUUUCUUAUCAUAGAGAAAGGCUGAGGCAGUUUUUUCCCACAUGAUUGUAUUCUCACUUGUAGACGAAAAAUAAUUUGAAUAUCUUCUAUUAGAUAAACUGCUAUAGAGAAAUACUUAAUAAUUAAGGGCACAAUUUUUACCUAUGUUUAGGAUGAAUUCUACAAAGCUAGGCUUUGCAAGGAAUACCUUGUCUUCGCAAGGUUGUUUUCCCUGUGGAUCUCAUAAGAUCACAGUCUCUGUAGCUUCACUCAGAACCUUUUUAUGGGCAAAAGGGAACUCACUAUAUAUUUGGAACCAAAAAUUGACUUUCAGCCCAGUUAAUGUUUGAAGAGUCUAACAGUCCAAAUUACCUACUAGAGAAAUAUCUCUCUUUUAUGUACAGUUAAAACCCUCCUAGUAUCUAUUGCUUUUCUUUUGUGUUAUGAUCACCUGUAAGAUGUUCCUCUGGAUCCUGAGGUUGACAUCUUGGUCCUCUGUAAGGAGAAUACAGGAGGCACUUACAAGAAGUUACCGGCAUCCUGAGUUUUUCCUCAGGAUGAUGUUCCGUCUUUGUCUGGAGGAGCAUGAUGUUGAUGCUUUUUUCCUCCUCUGUUCUGUAGAAUGCUUGUGUUUAUUUUUAUAUGUUUUCUUAACACAAUCUCCUUCCUUCUCAUUGGCUCCCAGCUCAAAUCUGAGAGUUGCACAACAGCCUCACUCAGUCUCGACUGAUAGAAAGGGCGACUGUUUCUUUCUCAGUGACUGCCUUGGUUUGUCAGACCUCUUCUGUAUAUGGUUUCCACAAAGUUUAAGACAAAAUAGGUCAGGCAGUAGUUGCCUGACCACUAGAAAACUUGACUGCUAGACAACUGUUAAGGCAAGCUAAAGCUAGCUCAGGCCAAGACAAGCCAAAACAAAUUUUAAGACCAAUAAAAACACUGGGGUGUUCUGCUAAUUAUGACAAAAACAAGAGUCACAUUUACCGGGUUACUUUUGUUUCCACAUCUUGCAGAUCUUUGAAACUUCACAUUUUUUGUGGUUCUUUAGUUUUCCCUGACAUUGAUCUCCCAGCAGACUUUAGGAAUAUAGAACAUCCUCACUAUGGUCUAGCUUUCAAAGAUCUCAAAUGUACAAAGGGCUGUACGUAUUAAGCUUCUACUACUGCGCCAAAAUUUAAAUUGGUUUUGUAAACAAGUAUUUUAAUUAGUUAGCCUGUACCCUUAGUUGUGUUAAUACUGUAUGUAUAAUGUGAUGUUUUACAAUAAAGCUAUUAUCAGGUGGAUUUUUAGUGGACCAGAAAUUCCAGACGUCAUGGAAUUCAUCUGAUCGAAUGCAAGUGAGUAAACAUGGACUUACCGAGUAAGUACCUCAGAAAAACCACCUUUUCCGGUAUCCUUCUUAUGUACUUAAACUUUUUUGGAAAGUAUAUGAGGUUUAACAAUGAUAAACUGAAAUUUUGCUCAUAGGGAGGGCUUUAUCUUAAAAAUUAACGUGCUUGCUAUAUAGAAAUCUAUAUCUGAGCUCAUCUGCUACAUUUGCUUAAGACUCAGUAGAAGUAUUGAAUGUUCUGCUCAUCUCAUCCUAAAAUCAACAUCAGAUGAAUCACGCUGUAAGAAUGCCUGUUCUUCUCAGUUAAAGGAAGCAUAAUGUGACCAGCUGAUAUGUAUACGUGUACAUGUUAAAUGUAAUGUCUAAAAUUAGCUAACAUGAGAUGUACAAGAUGUGUAAAAUUUCAACUUAUUUACAGCCUAAAUUGAACAGAAGUAUAAAUUAUGAGAUGAACCUAAGAGGAAUUUGCUCCUUCGGAAAACUAUCUCUAUUUUUCUUCUUAUUAAAGUUUUUUCGGUGUCCAUGAUUUAACCAAUCCCUUGUGUAUUCUAUUUUGUAUAGUUCCAUCUCUUCAGCAUUUCAGUAUUCUUCAGUAUCUAGAACGACAGUUCAUCAUGUCUCAUCUUUUGUUUGACUGUUUAUUUAUUAUACAAGGUCUAAAAAAUCUCUCUUUUGCAUCAAAAUCCUUGUAGCGUAAUCAUGUGAGAAGUUCAAACUUGACUUUUAGAAAAAGGUUUCACUGAAGUGGGCCCAAAAUUAUAGAGUCUAUGGAGCAAGAAACAUACCUGAUUUUAUAUUUGCCAAAUACAAUGCAAAUUUACAUUAGUGAACACACUACUGUAUUCUUCAUAUCUAACUUUUAGGUGAUUAUUAACCAAACAAUAUUGCAUUCAGAGGUUAAACAAAUGUUUUUCACAGGGAAAACAGUAGGUGCUCACAAGAUCUGAUUCCUAGUUUAUGGUCACUGUGAGCACUGCCAGCUCAUGAAACUUGAAUUAUUAUCAGCCAAAGCAUUAUAAUUUAUGGGCUAUUGAAUAUACUUUUGUUUCUUUUUAACAACUAAAAAACCUCCAAUAUUAAUGUGUUAACCAUAAAUUUUACAGUUAGCUGCAGAUUCAGAAAAGAAACAGGCUAGUAAUUAGAAUGACUUUCUCUUUACUUUGACAAGAAACUUAUUAGAUCACCGUGCUCUAAAAAAAAUCAACAAAUUCAGCCUCUGUUGAACCUGACAGACAUACUUGACUCAUUGUUGAUCUCUGCUGUGAUGACAGUUUCAAGCAUUCAAAACAAAACUGCUCCCUACAGAUGCCACUGUUACCAAAAUUGGGAGAAGAAUUUUAAAUCAAUGUUAUUAUGUGGGGAUAAUGCGACUUCGUUAGAAAACAUCCGAAAUCUCUAUUGCUCAUGAUUAUGAAAUAAUCAUAUUGUGCAUGGCAACAACUGCACUGCUAGCAAAAGUCGGUGCAUCUGAGAUGCUGUCAUUCAAAUCAGCUAUAAUUCUUUCAGUCAUCUUGUUCCCAUGGCUUUUAAUACUUUAUUUAAAAGUCGCAGACAUAUUGUAAGUGUUCUGUGAGUCCUUGAAACUUAAUACAUAGUGCAUCGUAAAAAGAUACUGCUGUAUCCACUGCUGCAUAAAAAUUUAUAAUUCAAAUUUGUUUUUUGAGACCUGAGCCUUUUUCAACCUAAUGCAGGCUAUAUAAAGGGGAUGUGUCAUCUGUUAUUACUAGUUCUUCUGCACUGCUCUCUGGCUUCAAUCUAUUCAUGUUAUCUUUUGCUGGCUAAGAGUGUAUUUAGGUUUAACACCCAGUCGCUCUUUUUUAACACGAUGACUUUUCAGAGCAAUCUUAUAUUUUGUCCAGAGUUUUAAAGGUUAAUUAAGCAGCAUGAUUUUCCCUCUGUGCUGGUGAAUAUCAAUAUAGCUAGAACAGAAAUUUUAUAUCUUGUUAAUUUAGUUAGUCUCUGUUUAUGAUUUUUAAUAUGUGUGAAAUUUCUUAAAUUUAUUCAAAAGUGCAAUGGUAUUAAUUGCUUUACAGGUAUGGGCAACAUAUAGAAACAUUAGAUAAGGUUUUCAUAAUUUAACAGGAUUCUGGAGUGAUAGUGGACAGGGUUUUUUCUUUUCAGUUUUUGCACUUAAGUUCAAAUGGUUCCAAAUUUCCUAGUAACCCACACUACUACAAUUUUUUAAUGAUAACAGGGUAAUCAUCUCAUUGUGAAUGACUUUCUGUAUUUAACACUUUGAAUCAGGAGUGCAUUAUUCUCUUCUUUCCCCCCCCAGCAAUCUAUGACCUUUUGCUUUUUAAAAUAAAUAUAUGAGAAUCUAAUGGAGUGUUGAUAUUAUUAUAUCCAGCUAGGAGCCUGAGCUUAGAAAACACCAAAAAUAUUUUUUUAGAGGUUUAGCAGUGUUGAUUUAGAAAAUGAUUUUUAAUGACUCUUCUUUAUCCACAGUGUUUCUGUACCUCAGUCAUGUUUCUGGUCUGAAUCAUUCUCGCGUAUUUUCAAGCUGAGUGCACUGUGUGUUGUGUUUCCUGUAUUUGUACUGACGUAUUUGCCUGCUCUAAGGGGAAAGAAAAAAGAAAGCAAGACAAAUGGAAACAUCAUUUCAUCUGAACACAGAACAAAACAAAUGAUUUCUUUUGUGAAAAUCACCAUAUACAACUGGUUAAAGAUAAUAAUGGCUAGAGAAGAGUUUUGUAAAAAAAAAUGGCAGUAUAUGCUUGAAACAGCCAAAGUUGUUGCCAGUUUUUAGUCUUGGUGGGAGAUAUGCACAGGUUUGAGGACUCUUAAGCCUGUCUAAGCAUUGAUAUGACAGAAUCUUCCUAAAGAGAGAUCUGUUGGAUAAUGUGUUGGGUAACAGUGGUAAAGUGUGGAACCCAAGAGCGUUAUGCCCAGGGAGAAGGCUGGAACUGAAGUUUACAUUGUAUAAUUUGUUCGUUUAGAUUUUUGAAUUAUACACCGUGUAAGUACUGUGCAUGGUCAGGAAUGGGACCUGCUCAAAAAUAUAAACCAGAAAUAAAUAAUGUUGGACUAAGGUACAGGGUGUUCUAUUUCAUGUUUCUUUUUCAUUCUUUUUAAGUAAUUUUGAAACAAGAUUGUGUAUUAAAAUAAUUCUUGUUGAAUUGAUUGAAUUGAAAUGAUGUUGAAUCAUCGUGGUCAAUAUGCUGCCCUUUGCAUCCUUUUAGACUGACAUGGAUUGCUAAUGCUGUAGAACCAAAUUUGGAGCCUGCUGGGCAGACCUUACCUGUCAUCUUAUGUUUUCUUUGGUUUUGUUUAUGCUUUCUUCAUAUCUGUGUGUGCCCUGUGGUUCUAGAUCUCCAGUGUUAUUGCAAGAAUUCCUGCCAUUUAAAUUUUCCUGUAACAAGCUUGUCAAAGAAGUGCAACUGAAGAAAGCAGUUUCCUGAAGAAAGUAUCAGUACCUCAUUUUUAAGGACUAUUGGCUAAUGCUGAGGAAAGAAGUGUAAGUGUUUGACUUGCACAUUUUUUGGAAAAAGACUACUCACUGGAAAAGCAUCGUCAUCUGUGGUGUCUAUGGGAACGAAGAAGUUAAGCAGUACAGAAAGGUGAAAGCCAGUCCUUCAGUGACCUGUGGAGGAAUAGACCUCUAUAUGCUCUUACAGCCCUCAAUGAAACAAAAAGCAAUAAAUUUCUGCUGAUAAGUUCAUUGCAGCAACCAAUAUAUAGUUCUUAUUAUUACUUAUCUCAGAAUAGCUGUACUGUAUGUGUUCAAUAUGAUGCAUUCCCCAGGAGCAAGGUGGUGGUACUCUACUUUGUGUGGUCUCAAGGUGAAACAUAUUUAGACCAAUUGAUAUUCAUCCGUAGUCACCUCAGAAUGCCAGCAAAACUGUCACUAGAAAGAAAGAAAAGGUAGCUCUUCCAGCCAGAUACAAAUGUAAAAAUCUUCUUAUUUUAACUGGUAAUUGAUCUUUUAAAGCAAGGUUUGAAUGAUCAAAUGGCAAAAAGGACAAAAUUCUCUCCAGAUUCUGAAACUGGGACAUAGGAAGAAUUCACUCAUUCAGCUUCAGUUGCAAAUGUCAUCUUGAUUCAGUUUUCUGCUUGCUUCUGACAAAUCCCACAUUGUCACUACCAGUUUCUGGAUAUCCCAGUGAGUUCUACUGAAAGUGGAACAUCUUUUUAAAUGCCAGAUGCUAUAAUGAUGUCAGUUAUGCCGCUAGAUGUUUAUACUCUGGCUCAUGUCACUGAGCAUAGCUCAGUAAAGACAGAGGCCAGAUUUUGAUCACAAGGUUCAUUUUAGAAAUGAGUAUUUGGAAAGAUUUGGUAGCUGUGAGAAAACUGGGAAGGGCCUGCUGUAGUUGAACAGUUCACUGCUUAUAAAAGUGUUGACCUGUGUGUGUGUCUAGAGAAGAAAAAAUCCUCCGAAUUUCUCAACAGUUUUUAUUUAAAAUGUAACUUCAUGUUAUAAUCAAACUGUUGUUAUGCAUUUGUUUAUAUUAGGAGUUUCCUCAAAGACUUAUGAAGUAUGUAAAACUAACAUGUUGCUACUGAAAAUUCUGAUAAUACAUAUUAGCACUGUAGGGAUGAAUGUUACAUAUACUGCAGGGGAAGAGGAGGCAUUUCCUACCAGCAGCAAAGCAGAGGCAUGAGAGGUAGGAAAGAGUAGUUUUCUAGUGCCUAAGUCUUGCUUAGUCACUAUCUAGGAGAAUGAUUUCAGGCAGAUCAUUUUAAAAGCUCUAGGGGAAAAAAAAAAGAAUUCAAACACAUCUAGUAAGAUACAGAUAUCAACAUGUGCCCUGUUUGGGGAGGAGAAUUGUCAAUAGAAAGGUAAAACAGUGUGAAGCUGGGAAACACAAGGAUGCUGCCUGAAGACACUAAAGAACUGGGCUGUCCCAGUAAGAUAUGAGUCAUAUCUCUUGUUUUGUAAAUUGCUAAGACUGAUGUGCUCACUUGUUAGUUAAAAAGUUGGCAUAAAGCAAUCGGUAAAUAGAGGUUCGAAUAAAAAUCUUUUGGUAUAGACA